This 475-nucleotide ribosomal RNA is filed under the name uncultured bacterium. Its description in RNAcentral is "partial 16S ribosomal RNA". It matches the Rfam family "Bacterial small subunit ribosomal RNA", at positions 33 to 506 of the family's 1533-position model. The record is from RNAcentral.
AUUCACGCUGGCGGCGUGCAUAACACAUGCAAGUCGAACGAUGAAACUUAACUGAUUUCUUCGGAAUGAUUUUAAGUGGAUUAGUGGCGGACGGGUGAGUAACGCGUGAGUAACCUGCCUUGGAGAAGGGGAUAGCCUUUGGAAACGAAGAAUAAUACCCUAUGAUAUGAUAAUAUCUCAUGAUAUUAUCAUCAAAGAUUUAUCGCUCUAAGAUGGACUUGCGUCUGAUUAGUUAGUUGGUGAGGUAACAGCUCACCAAGGCAGCGAUCAGUAGCCGGCUUGAGAGAGUGUACGGCCACAUUGGGACUGAGACACGGCCCAGACUCCUACGGGAGGCAGCAGUGGGGAAUUUUGCACAAUGGGGGAAACCCUGAUGCAGCGACGCCGCGUGAUUUAGAAGGCCUUCGGGUUGUAAAAAUCUUUUGUAUGGGAAGAAAAUGACAGUACCAUACGAAUAAGGACCGGCUAAUUACGU